AACCCCUUCCCUUCUCCUUCACUUUCACGUGAACCAGGACCCUCAACCCUCAACCUCAUUGUUGCUUCCGCCACGCCGCCAAACCAGUCGUCGGAGACCACCGUUGUCCCUCACCGCAGCUUCAAACGCCGGUAACUCCUCCAUCUCUUGCUUCAUUGUUCUUGCUUCUCCUUCGUUCUUAUUCUUAUCCUCUUGGUUGUUUUUGUUGCUCUCUGCCGCCACCACCACUGCGCAACUGGUUGCGCCGCACCAUCACAGCCACCGUGCACUGUUGCUGCACCGCCCAACUCGCCAACCAACGUUUUCCAUCAUCCUCUUUCUUGUUUCUUCAUUUUCACGACAGCAGCCAAGCACGACUAAGUGCGACCACCGUAGUCACCACCACCAGGCUCCAGCCGCGUCGCCCGUUCCCCGCGACCACCGCCCUGUGCCGCGCCGCCUGUGCUCCGCCGGCCAGCCUCCUCUCUCCUCUUUAAUUCUUGGUGGAGAAUUCUCCGUAGGCGACUUUUGAAUUAUUAAAGUGGUCUUGCAGUUUGUUUACACAAGUCUCUAAGGAUCAAUAAGCAUUGUCCAUCUGCAGGUUUGAAGAUGUUGCAUCAUUGGGAUCGGGAAUAGAGAGCUUGUAUUUAGUUUUGAUUUGCUAAGUUGACUUGGGUUUGUUUAAUUGGACUUUAAACUGGUCGUACUAUUUAUAUUUCCUUAUUUUUUUUGUUUAUUGGUUUUUGGGAUUAAACCUGUAAUCGAUUAUUUAUAAACCUAAAAUUAGUUUUAUGUUUUCCGCUGCAAAACUCUGAAUAAGCCGUUACGUUUUCACACGGGCGAUAAUGCCUUGAUAA
This is a long non-coding RNA of Spinacia oleracea (spinach), 836 nucleotides long. RefSeq lists it as uncharacterized. The record is from RefSeq and is a predicted model, not a curated record. Lineage: Eukaryota; Viridiplantae; Streptophyta; Magnoliopsida; Caryophyllales; Amaranthaceae. The transcript has 3 exons.